UUGACCGCCUGGGGAGUACGGUCGCAAGAUUAAAACUCAAAGGAAUUGACGGGGACCCGCACAAGCGGUGGAUUAUGUGGAUUAAUUCGAUGCAACGCGAAAAACCUUACCUACCCUUGACAUGUCAGAAAGUUUUCAGAGAUGAAAUCGUGCUCGAAAGAGAAUCUGAACACAGGUGCUGCAUGGCUGUCGUCAGCUCGUGUCGUGAGAUGUUGGGUUAAGUCCCGCAACGAGCGCAACCCUUGUCAUUAAUUGCCAUCAUUUAGUUGGGCACUUUAAUGAGACUGCCGGUGAUAAACCGGAGGAAGGUGGGGAUGACGUCAAGUCCUCAUGGCCCUUAUGGGUAGGGCUUCACACGUAAUACAAUGGCGCGUACAGAGGGUUGCCAACCCGCGAGGGGGAGCUAAUCUCAGAAAGCGCGUCGUAGUCCGGAUCGGAGUUUGCAACUCGACUCCGUGAAGUCGGAAUCGCUAGUAAUCGCGGAUCAGCAUGUCGCGGUGAAUACGUUCCCGGGUCUUGUACACACCGCCCGUCACUCCAUGGGAGUGGGUUUCACCAGAAGCAGGUAGUCUAACCGUAAGGAGGGCGCUCGCCACGGUGAGGUUCAUGCACUGGGGUGAAGUCGUAACAAGGUAGCCGUA
Molecule: ribosomal RNA, 641 nt
Filed under: uncultured bacterium
Lineage: Bacteria
Description: bacterial SSU rRNA
Rfam family: Bacterial small subunit ribosomal RNA
Source: RNAcentral